GAUGAACGCUGGCGGCGGGCCUAAUACAUGCAAGUCGAGCGAACAGACGAGGAGCUUGCUCCUCUGACGUUAGCGGCGGACGGGUGAGUAACACGUGGAUAACCUACCUAUAAGACUGGGAUAACUUCGGGAAACCGGAUCUAAUACCGGAUAAUAUAUUGAACCGCAUGGUUCAAUAGUGAAAGACGGUUUUGCUGUCACUUAUAGAUGUAUCCGCGCCGCAUUAGCUAGUUGGUAAGGUAACGGCUUACCAAGGCAACGAUGCGUAGCCGACCUGAGAGGGUGAUCGGCCACACUGGAACUGAGACACGGUCCAGACUCCUACGGGAGGCAGCAGUAGGGAAUAUUCCGCAAUGGGCGAAAGCCUGACGGAGCAACGCCGCGUGAGUGAUGAAGGUCUUCGGAUCGUAAAACUCUGUUAUUAGGGAAGAACAAAUGUGUAAGUAAAUAUGCACGUCUUGACGGUACCUAAUCAGAAAGCCACGGCUAACUACGUG
RNAcentral lists this ribosomal RNA (497 nucleotides) under uncultured bacterium. Its description in RNAcentral is "partial 16S ribosomal RNA". It matches the Rfam family "Bacterial small subunit ribosomal RNA", at positions 28 to 507 of the family's 1533-position model. The record is from RNAcentral.